GUCAACUGUUUACAAAAAAUUAAUUAGCUUUUUUGAUGUCCUCCAUUUGUAGGCUCGUGACUCGCAUUCGAUGAAUGAAUGUUCGGAGAAAGCGCAUCGACCAAAUUAUUAUCGCCCGCAACCACCUAAAAGAAUCAAACAAUAUAGAAAUCAUUAAUUAUAUGAAAAAAUCAAUAAAAUUUGUUGAGGAUAAAAAUUUAGCAUACUCGAGAAUUGAGCAAUAUUGUAUCCGAAAAUAGUGUUUUAAGUCGAUGCAAUUCAUCUCGCAUCUCUUGCAUCUCUUCUUUAAGCUUUUCUACUUCUCCUGGUUGGCCUUCUCUUGAUUCGCUUGUUGUAGGAAAGUUUAUAUGCUUCACGCCAUAAUAUGAUCUUAG
RNAcentral lists this long non-coding RNA (374 nucleotides) under Ananas comosus (pineapple). Its description in RNAcentral is "long non-coding RNA (ACOM_LNC008748)". The record is from RNAcentral. Lineage: Eukaryota; Viridiplantae; Streptophyta; Magnoliopsida; Poales; Bromeliaceae.